Long non-coding RNA from Homo sapiens (human), 3527 nucleotides. RefSeq lists it as uncharacterized. Lineage: Eukaryota; Metazoa; Chordata; Mammalia; Primates; Hominidae. The record is from RefSeq and is a predicted model, not a curated record. The transcript is spliced from 4 exons.
UGUAGGGGCUGGGGAAGAAAGGGAAAUUUAACAAGUAUUGGCAUGAUCUAUUUAUUUCAAUCCCCUUCAAUGUCAUUCCAGAGAGGAAAUCAUUACAUUUCUCUUUAAGUCAGUUUUGGCUAUUGAAUCAUGUCUCUUGAAUGCUGUACCUCUGAGACUGGGUCAUGUGGGCCUCUACUUUAAUAAGGGUUAUACUGUACUUGAAAAUCACCGCAAGUGCCUUCACUACAUUACCUCGUUCACUCCCCCAGCGCCCUUCUGAGGUAGGAAAAUCACAUUCUAUCCCCACUUAGUGAAAACAAAAACAAAAACCAAACAGGGCACAGGGUACUAAAACCAAAUCAUAACAGAAGCCAAAGGUCAUCCCCAAAUUAUGGUUCUUAAUCAGGAUGCUCAUCGGAGUCACCUGAGGAGAGUUUUCAAAAUACAGUCAUGUGCUGCAUUACAAUGUUUCAGUCAAUGAGGGACCACACGUAUGACGAGGGUCCCAGAAGACAAUAAGGGAGCUGGGAAAUUCCUGUUGCCUGGUGACAUUGUAGCUACUGUACACAACACAACGCAUUAUGUGUUUGUGGUGAUGCUGGUGUAAACAAACCUACUGUGCUGCCAGUGGUAUAAAAAUCUAGCACACACAUUUCCAUAGAGUACAUAAUACCGGAUAAUGAUAACGGCUAUGUUACUGGUUUAUGUAAAUAUUUACUAUACUGUACUUUUUAUUGUUAUUUUAGGGUGUAUUCUUUCUACUUAUUUAAAAAAAAUGUUAACAGUAAAACAACCUCAGGCAGGCCCUUCAGGAGGAAUUCCAGAAGAAGGCAUUGUUAUUACAGGAGAUGACACCUCCAUGUGUAUUACUAUCUCUCAAGACCUUCCAGUGGGACAAGAUGUGGAGGUGAAGACAGCGAAACUGAUGAUGCUGACCCUGUGUAGGCCUAGACUAGCAUGGGUGUUUGCAUCUUAGUUUUUAGCACACACAAAAAUAAAAAAGUAAAAAAUAAAUUUUUUUAAAUAGAAAAAACUUAUAGAAUAAGGAUAUAAAGAAAAUAUUUGUGUAUAGAUAUACAAUGUACAUUUUAAGCUAAUUGUUACAACAAGAGUCAAAAACUUUGUAGGCUAGGCGCGGUGGCUCAUGCCUGUAAUCCCAGCACUUUGGGAGGCUGAGGCAGGCGGAUCACGAGGUCAAGAGAUCGAGACCAUCCUGGCCAACAUGGUGAAAACCCCGUCUCUACUAAAAUUACAAAAAAAAUUUAGCUGGGCAUGGUGGCACAUGCCUGUGGUCCCAGCUACUCGGGAGGCUGAGGAGAAUCGCUUGAACCCAGAGUUGGAGGUUGCAGUGAGCCGAGAUCGCGCCACUGCACUCUAGCCUAGCAACAGAGUGAGACUCUGUAUCAAAAAAAAAAAAAAAAAAAAGUCUGUAAAGUAGAAAUGUUAAUUUAUUAUUGAAGAAAGAAAAUGUUUCUAAAAAUAAAUAUAGUGUAGCCUAAGUGUACAGUGUUUCUAAAGAAGUCUACAGCAGUGUACAGUGAUGUCCUAGGCCUUCACACUCACUCACCACUCACUCACUGGCCCACCCAAAGCAACUUCCAGUUCUGCAAGCUCCAUUCAUGGUAAGUGCCCUGUACAAGUAUACCACUGUUUAUCUUUCAUACUGUAUUUUUACUGUACCAUUUCUAUGUUUAGAUACACAAAUACAUGGUGUUACAAUUGCCUACAGCCUUCAGUACAGUCACAUGCUAGGUCUGUGGCCUAGAAGCAAUAGGUCAUCAUACCAUAUAGUCCAGGUGUGUGGUAGGCCCUACCAUGCAGGUUUGUGUAUAUACAUUCUAUGGUGUUCACACACAAUGACAAAAUCACCUAACAAUGCAUUACUGAGGAUGUGUCCCUGUCAUUAGCAAGGCAUGACUGUCCCCGAGGGUUUGACACAGCAGGCACAGGCAGGCAGGUGGGCAUGCCGAUUUUGAAAGAGCUCCUCUUGCCUUCACAUGACAACCCACACCACACCAUAAAAGAAAUAUCUUCCACUUUGCAGGUCUCUGCAAUUUUGAAAGUUUUCGAGUCUAGAACACCAACUUCUCCAUGGCCUGUAGAGGGUGAUAGGGUGACAGCUUUCUGCUCCUACCCUGGCUCUGGCCACCUAACUCUCCAGAAGCUGGGAAGAGGCCAGUACACAGGGUGAAGCACAGCUAGUCUGCUGCAGAAAAAUGCAAAAAACACCCACAGCUUUCUAGGGCAAGUGUUAGCCUGGGUACUUCUCACCUCCUUCCUAGGGUGAGGCUGAGCCAGGAAGGCCUUAGGGCUGAAGGACUCCUGGAGGAGGAGCAGACAGGGCCCUAUCUCCCACCCCUCAGAGCAUCACGUCCCAAGGUCCUCCCACCUCUCAUUCCUCCUGUCCCUCCCAGCCUGCUCACAUCUAGGUAUGUUUGGUGGGCUCCCAUGCAGGGGUCCCAGUAUCAACUAGGGGGCAUGGUGGGUGCUCCCAUUACCCUACGAUGGACACCCACACAGGACAGCUGUUUACAUUGUGGAUUCAGCAUAUUGAACUGCAGAACAGAAUAUUGAACUGGCAAACAAAUGAGGUGUCCUGUCUCGGCUCAGAGACAAGGCCCAGGAAAGUGCUUCAGAGGCUGCUCUGCCCAGUGGGCAGGGGCAUCAUCAACCCUCCCUCGGAGAUGUUCACGCAAACUCUAGGAGUUAAGUGACUCAGCCAAUACCACCCAUGAGACACGACCCCUAGCCUCCAACUCGAAGUUCAGUGCUUGCUGCAGACGAUGAGAAGACUGAGGCCAGCUAUCUCCUGAGCUACGGUGGACCUGAAUUCCCCUCUCCCGACCCCUGCCAACCCCGGCCUAGGACUGCCCCAGGUAAAAUGAUCCCACACAGCACAGGAGAAGUGCCGGCUCACCAAGGGACAGCAUGGCCCUGGGUGCUUCUCUUCUGGUAUGUAAGAGACUGAACGUGCCAGAACCAUGGAGCCCACAGCCAACACCCCUCAGGCAGGUUGCUUACCCCGGCUGAUCCUCUGCUUCUCCCCAGAGAGGAUCCCUGGUGUGUCGAUGACGCUGAUGCUCUCCAGCACAGGGUUAGGUAGCUGGGCACACACGAACCUGCAUGGGCAGAGGUAACCUGGGUAGAAACAAUAUCCGUGAAUAGAAAAGAACCUUCGUCUGCCUCCUUCCAGUUGGAUGCAAAUCCCAGCCACUGAAUAUUUAGGCAAAUACUGGGAACUAUAUGGAGCAUCCUCCUCCACUUUUACUAGGGGUAGGUGCAGGGUAGGGGAAUGUGACCUGAGUCAUUGUUGUAUCCUUCCCUGCUCCCUGAUAAGGAGGAAUCAACCCAGCAUUUGCAGCUGCUGCAUCUCACAACUGACUCAGUUACACUCUCAGCAAGCAAGGGACAAUCUAGGUAUGGAAAGAUUGACAGGAGACUCUAGGCACCAAGCAUCCCAAGACCCUGCCUACUGUUCUUUCACUCCCCAUACCCCAAGAAGAAAAGAGAGCACCUGAAAGUGUUGUGUUCCCUCCACACUCACC